GACGGAGUCUUGCUCUGUUGCCCAGGCUGGAGUGCAGUGGCAUGAUCUUGGCUCACUGCAACCUCUGCCUCCUGGUUUAAGUAAUUCUCCUGCCUCUACCUCCUGAGUAGCUGGAACUACAGAGUCAAGAAAACUUAUUUGGAAUUAUUUACAGCUUUUAACAAUUAAGUAAGGUAUACACUUCUGUGAUCAAGAUUUGGAGCCUGUUUGUUUCUCUCUGCCUGGUUCCUCUAAAAUUUGGAAACUAUCUGAGUCAGUCUUCACUUGGAGAACCAAUAAAAGCCCCAGGAGGAGACUGGCCUCAUACCCUUGUU
Molecule: long non-coding RNA, 314 nt
Filed under: Homo sapiens (human)
Lineage: Eukaryota; Metazoa; Chordata; Mammalia; Primates; Hominidae
Description: HSALNT0398076
Source: RNAcentral